Molecule: ribosomal RNA, 434 nt
Filed under: uncultured bacterium
Lineage: Bacteria
Description: partial 16S ribosomal RNA
Rfam family: Bacterial small subunit ribosomal RNA
Source: RNAcentral
AGCGAACGCUGGCGGCAGGCUUAACACAUGCAAGUCGGGCGGGCACUUUCGGGUGUCAGCGGCGGACGGGUGAGUAACGCGUGGGAACGUGCCCUCUGGUUCGGAAUAACUCAGGGAAACUUGAGCUAAUACCGGAUACGCCCUUUUGGGGAAAGGCUUGCUGCCGGAGGAUCGGCCCGCGUCUGAUUAGCUAGUUGGUGAGGUAACGGCUCACCAAGGCGACGAUCAGUAGCUGGUCUGAGAGGAUGAUCAGCCACACUGGGACUGAGACACGGCCCAGACUCCUACGGGAGGCAGCAGUGGGGAAUAUUGGACAAUGGGCGCAAGCCUGAUCCAGCCAUGCCGCGUGAGUGAUGAAGGCCUUAGGGUUGUAAAGCUCUUUUAUCCGGGACGAUAAUGACGGUACCGGAGGAAUAAGCCCCGGCUAACUUCGU